RNAcentral lists this ribosomal RNA (4084 nucleotides) under Triticum aestivum (bread wheat). RNAcentral's name for it is "partial small subunit ribosomal RNA". Lineage: Eukaryota; Viridiplantae; Streptophyta; Magnoliopsida; Poales; Poaceae. The record is from RNAcentral.
UGCAUAUUCCACACACACACACACACACACACACACAAGAGCAUCCAGCAAGCCUGUCUUAGCACGGUGCAUAUUUCACACAAAGCAGCAGCCACCAGCAAGCCUAUCUUCCUUACCAACAUAGUAGAACCGAAACCAUGAGCUCUGCCAGUGUGAUAGGUAGCAUGUUGCUCAGCUCAUCUGUUUGGCAGCUUCACCAUGGGUCUCUGGAGUGGCCGGAGGGAUCUUGCAUAUACCCUCUGAAGCAUCCCUGGCUCACUGUCCCUCCAGCUGCGGAGACGUGGACUACAUCGCCUACCCAUAUGGGAUUGGGCAGGGAUGCUUCCGUCCGGGCUUCGAGCUCACCUGCGACAACACCACUAUGCCUCCCAGGCUCCUUCUGGGAGGCAGAGGCAGCAAAACCGUGAUCACCGGCCUUAAUACCAUCUAUGCUUGGACACCUAUUGGCUUCAACAUUACAAUGAGACCAGGCACAAAAACCCACAACGUGUCUUGGGAAUCCCCUGCCAAGGGCACCAUCAAUCUCCAGGAGCGCUCUAAUACUCUGUAUGUCAUCGGCUGUGGUGUGGAGGCAUUCUUGUACGAUCACGACACCGGCGAUACACUCGGCUCAUGCAUGAGUACAUGCACAUCCAACAUGGAGAAGGAAGCAGAAGGCUGCGAUGGCGUCGGCUGCUGCCGGAUCCGCAUCAAAAGGGAGUUGGGAGGCUUUCAGUUAACACUUGCCCGCCUCGACGACUUCGUCCAACAAUCAGAUGAGCUGCUGUCUCAUGUCAAGGUCUUCGUUUCAGAACUAGGGGAUUUUGGUUUUCGUACAAGUGAUCUUUUCUCAGGCUGGAUAAACACAAGCAGAUGGCACUAUGAGGAUGCGGAACUCCGGGGUUCUAUAACGGACCAGCCUAGCUGCCAAAUGGCAUACAAGAAUAAGGCCUAUGUUUGUACCGCCAACAGCGAUUGCCGCAAUGCAUCGCACGGCUACUAUUGCUGGUGCUCCGAAUAUUAUGAAGGCGGCAAUCCUUACGUUAUUGACGGUUGCAUCGAAGGUUACAAUCCAGUUCCUAAAAAGGAUUGCUCAAGAUCAUGUGGAAACACAAGCAUUCCUUUUCCUUUCGGGGUCGAAGAAGGUUGUUAUGCUCAUGAAAAGUUUGGGCUUAACUGUACAACGGAUAAUGUCACCGUACUUGAUCGGGGAGUAAUAAAAUAUCAUGUGUACAAUGUAUCAGUGGCCGAUGGUUAUUUAAGUGUAAGAAAUAUACCGAACGAUACAGCAUACAACUUCCAAGAGUUCAUGGUACCCACCAAAGAUGGUGAAGAAGCGAUGCAAGAUGGUGCCCGCAAUGAUAUAUUUGAGUUGUCUCAAGAAUAUGACAUGCAAAUGUGGUGGGCUGUUAGGAAUAUAACUUGUCAAAAAGCUAUGAAACAUAAAGCUACGUACGCAUGCCGCAGUGUCAACAGCAACUGCCUUCUUGUCAACCAUGGGAAAAAACAGCUUGGCUAUCGGUGCAAUUGUUCCCAAGGAUUUCAGGGAAAUCCGUAUAUUGAAGAUGGGUGCAAAGACAUCAACGAGUGCUUACUGCCAGAUUCUUGCAGCGGUAUAUGUCACAAUUUUGAUGGAGGUUACUAUUGCAUGAGUUGCCCACACGGAAAAGAAUUUGAUGCAACAAAAAGGAAGUGUGUUAUGUCAGUAAAGCAACGCAAUAUUCUUAUAGGCAAGUCAUACCGCAAUUUCUUUAUUGCACUUACUAUUCAGAACAUACAGUAUUGUACUUUGCUCGUAAUGAUCACAAGAUUGUUAAGUAAUAUGAACAAUCUCACUGCCACACGACCCAGUGGCCGAGGCAGGAAUUUUGGUUUGGGUGUAAAUAGUUUUAAAAUUGGUGUUCUAACUAAUUAAUUAUAGGAUUAACUUAGAGCUAUAAGCUCUUCUUUCCCAAAUAAUGGGUGUACAUAUGUACACGCAUGUCCUUUUGCUGGCUCCGCCCAUGCACGACCCCCACCCACACACUCGCGAUGCCAAAAAAAAGUCCAUUAUUAUUAUUUGAAAUGGGUGUCCAUGAAGGAUGGGGCUAGGCAGCUACACGCAAAGACUGGUGUCAAUUGGCACCAUUAAGUACCUAUUUGGUUCUAAGGAAUUGCAUAAGAAUUUUUAAGGAUUCCAUUCGUUAGGACUUUCUUUCUUUUUUUUUAGAAAAAGGAGGAUGACCCCCGGCCUCUGCAUCUGGGAGAUGCAUACGGCCACGUUAGGACUUUCUUUCUGUAGAGUUCGUUUCAUUCGUUAGAAAUGUUUUUUUUGCAUCCUCCCUGCUGCCCCUCUUUGGCGGUGAUAAAUACAACAUUGUCCCCAAACGCUGCAUAUUAACAAGGCAGACAUGUUCCCCUAAAAAAAACAAGGCAGACAUGUAUCAUCUAUUGGUUGGGUGAAUCCUAUUAUCAUAUAUUCACCGAAUGGCCAACAAUUGUCUACUAUAUGAGUAAUUUUGUAACUGCAAUGAAUGAAUGCAGGAAUUGCAACUGGAAUAAGCUGUGGCUUUGGCUCAAUAAUUCUAGGGCUGAGUGCAAGUGUACUCGCUCAUAAGUGGAAGCAAAGCAUUCAGAAAAGUACUCGAAGAGCAUGGUUCAAGAAAAAUCAAGGCCUACUAUUGGAACAACUAAUUUCAGAUGAAUGCAGCACAAGCAAAACAAACAUAUUCACCUUGCAGGAACUUGAGGUGGCGACCAACAAUUUUGAUGCUACUCGUGUUCUUGGUUCUGGAGGACAUGGCACAGUUUACAAGGGGAUUCUAUGUGAUCAACGUGUGGUGGCCAUUAAAAAAUCCAAAAUUGAGAAGCAAGCUGAAAUAGACCAGUUUAUCAACGAAGUUGCUAUCUUGUCUCAAAUCAUACACCGCAACAUCGUGAAGCUAUUUGGUUGUUGUCUAGAAUCUGAAGUGCCCUUAUUGGUCUAUGAGUUCAUAUCUAAUGGCACGUUAUAUGAUCUUCUUCACACUGGUGUUGGGUGUUUGUUAUCAUGGGAAGAUCGUAUUAAGAUUGCAGUAGAGGCUGCAGGUGCUAUUGCUUAUCUCCACUCAGCUGCAGCAAUACCAAUUUUUCAUAGAGAUGUGAAGUCUUCCAACAUACUCCUAGAUGGCAGCUUCACCACAAAGGUGUCUGAUUUCGGUGCUUCAAGAUCUAUUUCUCUUGACGAGAGUCAUGUGGUGACUAAGGUCCAAGGCACGUUUGGUUACUUAGAUCCAGAGUAUUACCAUACCGGCCAACUAACUGAGAAAAGUGAUGUGUAUAGUUUUGGGGUGAUACUCGCGGAACUUCUCACAAGAAAGAAGCCGGUUUUUAAUGAUAAUUCAGGCAUAAAACAAAGUUUGUCUCAUUACUUCGUUGAAGGACUUCAAGAUGGAAUGCUUAUGGAAAUCAUCGAUCCUCAAGUUGUGGAAGAGGCAAACAAAGAAGAUAUUGGUGAAAUUGCCUCGCUUAUAGAAGUUUGCUUGCGUCUCAAAGGAGGAGAGAGACCUACUAUGAAAGAAGUAGAUAUGAGGCUGCAAUUCCUAAAGAGUGGGAGGCUAAGAAAGCUCCAAGCUUGCAGAGAUGAUGGAGAGAGCAAUUGUGUGAACGCUGUCAUUGUGAAAUCUGAAGGCAAUUCUGGGUGCUACAGUUUGGAGCAAGAGUUCCUGUUAUCGGCCAGUUUACAACGUUAAUUACAAGUGUACAAUGAAGCAACCGAAUACCCGUUUGGAUUCUGUAAGAUAAUGUAUUUUUCAAAUAACUUUGUUGGGUCGCAGUUCAUCUAUUUAGACCCGAGCAUGACAUUUACCGUCCGAUACAUUUGGAUAAUGUACAUGUAGUCCAUGUUGGUUGUGUACUGUUAAAACUACGGAAAAAACUGGGUGGCCACGUGUAGUCCCCUCUGUCGUAGGAUUUCCAUUGCAUUGGGAUCCAUGGCACAACUAUUUAAUGGUUCAUACAUUUAUGCACGCUGUAUGUCUAGACUUCCAACCAUAGUAAUGAUCCAAAUUUAUAUGGAUAUAUACAUUUACAUAGCAGUUACUCGGAAAAUCAGGGUGUUUACCUCUGCAGCGAAGUGACAGGCAAC